Rosa chinensis is the source of this 475-nucleotide long non-coding RNA. RefSeq lists it as uncharacterized. NCBI's taxonomy places the organism in Eukaryota, Viridiplantae, Streptophyta, Magnoliopsida, Rosales, Rosaceae. The transcript is spliced from 2 exons. The record is from RefSeq and is a predicted model, not a curated record.
CUUUGAGCCGUUAUGGUAAAGUCGCGAUCGCUGAAACCAAUAUCGAGGAGCUGCCAAAGGCUUAGCCUUUGCAGAUUACUAUGGCGUAGGUGAAGAUGAUGAAGGCAUUGAGGACAUGCAUGUAAGAUCUUCGGUUAGCGAAUCUGAAGAAUUAUCUCAUCCCAUCUCCCAUCAUCUUGGCCGGAGCAACCAGAGGCUUUCCAAUCUAGUUUAGGGUUGCCGUAGUUCUUUUCACGGUUUUGUUUCCUUUCCCAGUUAUGAGGGCUACGGUAUAAUAUUUGGGCAGUUUUGGUUGGAUGGGAGCUGGUAUAAAUGUGCCUAGCUACUAGAAAAACUCUCAGUUAGUUUUGAUUGGAUUGGGGAAUAUGUACCUACUAGACUAGGCUUGUUAACCUUCAACUGUUAUGCUAUAUUUUCCGAACGAAGUUAUUGUAUGUAUAUGCAUAUAUUCAAGUAUAUUGUUGAUUUACAUCUA